Molecule: long non-coding RNA, 784 nt
Filed under: Vigna radiata
Lineage: Eukaryota; Viridiplantae; Streptophyta; Magnoliopsida; Fabales; Fabaceae
Description: long non-coding RNA (VRAD_LNC018421)
Source: RNAcentral
GAUGCUCAUAAGUCUUGGUGCAAGUUGUGCCCGUCGNCUGUAAUAUAUAUAGUGAAGAUAAUGAAAUUAAAGAGAUUUUGAAUGAACUUUUUUCGGAAGAUGAAUAUGUCAAUGACUCAACUCUUUACAAAAGUAAAUCGUUUAAUAAUGAGUGUUUUUUUAGUUGGGGCUAGUGCAGAGACGACAGAGAAAAUGUUUGAGUGAGAGAGAUGAAGGAGUAAUGGUUGAGAGGAAUGAAAGAGGUGAAUAAGGGUUUGGGUUUUUUUUAGUUUUGAGAAUGAAAAUUAUCAAAAUAAGGCAAGUGUUUCUGAAUUUUUUUUCAAUUGUAGCUAGAGUAGCGAUGACAGAGAAAAGGUUGGUUGGAGUGAAAGAGAUGAGAGAGAAAGGGUUGAAAGGGAUGAGAGAGGUUGGUAAGGGUUUGGGGGUUUAUUUUUAAUUUUUUUAAUUUUGAGAAUGAAAAUUAUUAAAAUACCCUUAACCUUAAAACUUAGAAUUCAUGAUAUAUAUAAGGGUAUUUUUGUCUACUGAAAGCCGAUACACAUUGCUAAAAUGUACCAACUCAAAAACAGGCGUACGCAAGUUAGCAAACCCCAUAUAUAUAUAUAUAUAUAUAUACUUGUAUUCUUUUUUUUUUCUCAAAUCUUGUUCUCACAAUUAACUUCAACUAUUUUCUUUUAUUUUUAUAUAUUUUAUGUUUUUCUCUAUUUUUAUUUUAUUUCUAUUUUAUAAUUAAAUCUUAACAUGUUUUAAAAAAUUUCAAUAAUUUAAAAACAAUCUUCCAACC